GCACUGGUGAUUCAGUGGUAGAAUUCUCGCCUUCUGUGCAGGAGACUGGGGUUCCAUUGCCGGCCAGUGCG
This 71-nucleotide transfer RNA is filed under the name Loxodonta africana (African savanna elephant). It matches the Rfam family "tRNA". From Rfam's summary of the family: Transfer RNA (tRNA) molecules are approximately 80 nucleotides in length. The record is from Rfam by way of RNAcentral. Lineage: Eukaryota; Metazoa; Chordata; Mammalia; Proboscidea; Elephantidae.